Molecule: unclassified non-coding RNA, 415 nt
Filed under: Hevea brasiliensis (rubber tree)
Lineage: Eukaryota; Viridiplantae; Streptophyta; Magnoliopsida; Malpighiales; Euphorbiaceae
Source: RNAcentral
UCACAAACCCUAAACCCUAACGCCGCUCUGGUCAGCGUCAAUUCCCUCUUCGAACGCACUGUCCUCGGAGGUCUCUCCCCUUCCAUUUCUCCACCUUCCACGUCACCACCACGAACCGGUCCCACUUUGGUCACUCCGUUAGUUACAUCCUCCCUACCCGGCCUACUGAAAUAAACUCCCUGAGAUUUCCGAUCCUUGUUUCCGGCUUCCGACGGAGGAGUAGGUGUCGGAGGUAAACUUAAAUUCUCACAGGAAAGUUUAUGUGGGGAUCGAACUGGAGAGUAGUACUUGUCUACAGAAACCAAGGCUUUUGAAGAGAGCGAUUUCGUUUCCCGGUCAUCGAAAUGCAACUGCGAUUCGAAAUGGAGUGGUGAGUGGAAGGAGUCCAUUUGACUCACCUGUGAGUCGGUGUCGG